CAAUAGCGUAUAUUAAAGCUGUUGCAGUUAAAAAGCUCGUAGUUGGACUUCUGUCGGGAGCAAUCGGUCUGCCUUCUGGUGUGUACUCGAUCUGUUGUCGACAUUCCCCAUGUGUCGUUGUGUACUUGAUUGUAUGUAACGCUGCAUGGACCUUUUACUUUGAGAAAAUUAGAGUGUUUCAAGCAGGCCUAUGCCUUGAAUACUGCAGCAUGGAAUAAUGUUUUAAGGCUUCGUUCUUAUUUCAUUGGUUUCGAGGACAAAGCAAAGAUUAAUAGGGAUAGUUGGGGGCGUUCGUAUUUAAUUGUCAGAGGUGAAAUUCUUGGAUUUAUUAAAGACGAACAACUGCGAAAGCAUUCGCCAAAGAUGUUUUCAUUAA
RNAcentral lists this ribosomal RNA (376 nucleotides) under uncultured eukaryote. RNAcentral describes it as "partial 18S ribosomal RNA". It matches the Rfam family "Eukaryotic small subunit ribosomal RNA", at positions 592 to 976 of the family's 1831-position model. The record is from RNAcentral.